RNAcentral lists this ribosomal RNA (1217 nucleotides) under Enterobacter asburiae. RNAcentral describes it as "bacterial SSU rRNA". It matches the Rfam family "Bacterial small subunit ribosomal RNA", at positions 38 to 1347 of the family's 1533-position model. Lineage: Bacteria; Pseudomonadati; Pseudomonadota; Gammaproteobacteria; Enterobacterales; Enterobacteriaceae. The record is from RNAcentral.
AAUGCGGCAGCUACACAUGCAAGUCGAGCGGCAGCGGAAGUAGCUUGCUACUUUGCCGGCGAGCGGCGGACGGGUGAGUAAUGUCUGGGAAACUGCCUGAUGGAGGGGGAUAACUACUGGAAACGGUAGCUAAUACCGCAUAACGUCGCAAGACCAAAGAGGGGGACCUUCGGGCCUCUUGCCAUCAGAUGUGCCCAGAUGGGAUUAGCUAGUAGGUGGGGUAACGGCUCACCUAGGCGACGAUCCCUAGCUGGUCUGAGAGGAUGACCAGCCACACUGGAACUGAGACACGGUCCAGACUCCUACGGGAGGCAGCAGUGGGGAAUAUUGCACAAUGGGCGCAAGCCUGAUGCAGCCAUGCCGCGUGUAUGAAGAAGGCCUUCGGGUUGUAAAGUACUUUCAGCGGGGAGGAAGGUGUUGAGGUUAAUAACCUCAGCAAUUGACGUUACCCGCAGAAGAAGCACCGGCUAACUCCGUGCCAGCAGCCGCGGUAAUACGGAGGGUGCAAGCGUUAAUCGGAAUUACUGGGCGUAAAGCGCACGCAGGCGGUCUGUCAAGUCAGAUGUGAAAUCCCCGGGCUCAACCUGGGAACUGCAUUCGAAACUGGCAGGCUAGAGUCUUGUAGAGGGGGGUAGAAUUCCAGGUGUAGCGGUGAAAUGCGUAGAGAUCUGGAGGAAUACCGGUGGCGAAGGCGGCCCCCUGGACAAAGACUGACGCUCAGGUGCGAAAGCGUGGGGAGCAAACAGGAUUAGAUACCCUGGUAGUCCACGCCGUAAACGAUGUCGACUUGGAGGUUGUGCCCUUGAGGCGUGGCUUCCGGAGCUAACGCGUUAAGUCGACCGCCUGGGGAGUACGGCCGCAAGGUUAAAACUCAAAUGAAUUGACGGGGGCCCGCACAAGCGGUGGAGCAUGUGGUUUUAUUUCGAUGCAACGCGAAGAACCUUACCUACUCUUGACAUCCAGAGAACUUUCCAGAGAUGGAUUGGUGCCUUCGGAACUCUGAGACAGUGCUGCAUGGCUGUCGUCAGCUCGUGUUGUGAAAUGUGGUUAAGUCCCGCACGAGCGACACCCUUAUUCCUUUGUUGCCAGCGUCCGGGCGGGAACUCAAGGAGACUGCAGUGAUAAACUGGGAGGAGUGGGAUGGACGUUCAGUCAUCAUGCCUACGAGGUAGGCUACCACACGUUGUCCUACAGAGUGGCGCCGCCCAUAUUCACGA